CUUGCAAAGGGAACAUUUUUCUAUGGCCAAGAAAAUAUUUUCCCUGGUGUUUUUGAUGGGGUAUGUGUGUGUGGAAUGGAAAUAGCAUUACUUCUUUUCUGAUUCUUUGAGUCAUGUGUUUUCAUUGACAGGCGUUUGUACCAUUCAGAAAUGUAAGGAAGAAGGAACAUGUCAAAUAGUGCAUACUUUUAAACGAAGGAAUGUCACCCCCUUUCUCCCAUCCUGCCUUUAUAACUGUGUCCCAAUUCACGUUCUCACACCCUCACUUCAUAGGGGAAGCCAUGCCAUCCACCUAACAUAUGCCCUCUCCUGGGCAAGGGCACCAAAGGGAUUUGGGCGACCCCUGAGAGGAAGGGUGGCUUAGCAUACAAAGAUGCGUGCCAGGCACACUCUACUCACAUUGUUUGGGCUUGACCUGCAGCUCCACCAACUCUCCCACUUACCAUGCUUAUCAUCCAGCUCCAAGCGACAUACGGAACAUAUCAAUUCCUCAUCUAUAAAACAGGAUAACAAUACUCUUUUCCUCAAGGAAUGUGUGUUUUCAGUAAGUCAUUGCAUGAAUGCUUUACCCAAAAGUAUGUGCUCAGAGUCAGAAGCUGAAUUAUUUCUUGUGCUGCUGUCUCUCCGUCCCAGGUUGCUCCCUUCAUCUCACCAGGGUAAAUCCAAAUCACCUGUAAGGGGUUCUUUUUUUUUUUAUGUCUACUCCUUUAUUUAUUUUUUUAAAUUAGAGUUGACUUACAAUGCUCCAAAGAAGACAUGCAGAUGUAACAUUCUCUGCAUUUAUUGUUCAGAUUUCCAAGAAUAUCAAGAUAUUGUUUAAUAAACAGAUGGUUCAAAUCGUGUGAUAUAUACAGAUCUGUUUUCAGGAAUAAAACAAUACGUGAAUUUUAUAAUGAGGGCCUAAGAUACCUCUAAUUGGAUAUUUUGAUAAGCUUUGUUUUUUCCCCAAGCAUUUCACUUUUAUCUCUCUGACUAGAACUUGUUAAGGAAACCAAGAUUUUAGGUCUUUCCUACCUGUCACCCUUUAUUUUCUGGUCUCCAGGGGAUCAUAGGGACUAAUGCUUUUUAUGAAUUGCUGUCAGAUUGUGGAUUAAAGCACAAAAAAUGGAAGACAAACCAAACAGGACGUAAUUUCUUAGGGCAGAUUGUUUAACAGCGUCCUACCAUUUUUCUAAGAAUUUCGGCUCUCACAGUAGUUUCAUCAGCUUUCGUAUAUUACGAGAAAAUCAUGAGAGGUGAGAUGUUACAGAAUUCUAAGGAAAAUAUUUACUUGCCAACUAAAAGAGGUUCACACAUGUUUUCACUUGGUUUUUGAGUUUCACUUAAAGAUAAAGUGUUUUCACUAUAAAUCUGGAAAAUGUCAGAGAAUAAACCUGGAAGGUAAGGAGGUUGGAACUAUCUUCAUUAAAAUUUGAAUGAAUAUUAUAUCCGUGUUUUUUUAGUGACUAUUAUAUUCUUGUGCUGUGUUUUAAUAAGCAGUAUAUUUCCUUGACUUUCAUACUCAUUGCUUAACAUACUUAUUUUUAUUCAUUCACAAAUUCGAAAGUUCUCCUCCCUGAGUAUUUAGUAAAAGAAUAUUUAUGAUUUAAUGGACUUCAAGCAAAUCGCUUCUUAGCCUGCAAAUGUUGUCUAUGGCUUCACGCAGCAAGCACGUCCCUGUCCCCCACCAAGCAUGUGGCCGAGCUUCUCCUACACUCCAGACCCCCGGAGUCUUUCCCAGACUCAUGUAUUCGUGAGUUGAGUAUUACUCAAUAAAUCCACAUCUCUCUGCUCUCAGUGGUGCAUUGAACUUCUGUCUUCAGAAAGCAGGCAUUAAUGAUUCCUGUGUCCUUGUUCUGAGUGGCAAUUGAUCACUUUAAACUAUAUAAUCCCAUCAGCUUGUAAAUAUGGAAUAUAUUACUUCUCACGAAAUACAUUAUCCUGUUCAGUUCUCCAUUAAAGGCUUACCUGCCACUUUUCAACCUGUGAGCCUUUGGAAAUUAAUCUGUAAUUUUAGACUAAGCUACUUCUUUAUUUUCAAAAGUGUACACCAAUUGUAAAUUUGGAAAUUAUACUUAAUCUAGAUAACUUUUUAAAACAGCAAAUAAGGUCAUUCUUGAGACUACUCACGAGAAGAUACAUAUUUUUUCCUUGUUACACUAAUUGAACAUUCAUGUAAUAUUUUCCACUGGAAGCCACUUCUUAGCCAUCUGAAGAAAUCAUCUGUGUAACAGUUAUCACAGUGCUAUUUACAACAGUGACCAUUUAGAAAAAGACUAAAUACACAACAACAGGUACUACAUUAUGUCAUUUUCAUCGUAGGAACAGUCAGGUAUCUGAAGAGCAAACAUUAUGUUUUAAGGCAAGUUGAUGAACUAGGAAAGUGUUCACUGUAUUUUAUUAGAAGAAAUAAGUAGAUUAUAAUUUGUGUAAACAGUUAGGGUACAGGAUACUUUUUCAAUACUCUGUGGGUAGGCAGAAAAAUUAAAAGGGAUAAACUAUAUUGAAAUAGUAAUAAUGGUUAACAGUGUGGUGAGAUUAUGUGUGAUUCAGAUUCCAGUUUUUGUUCAGUUUGGUUUGGUUUUCCUGGAUUGUGAUCCCAUAUUACAUUUGUUUUGGUUUUGUUUUUUUCGGUUUUUUUUUUUAAGUUUUCUUGAAAUACAGUUGAUUUACAAGGUUGUGACAUUUUCUGCUAUACAACAAAGUGAUUCAGUUUCCCAUAAAUACAUGUCCAUUCUUUUUUGGUUUCUUUUCCCAUAUAGAUUAUCACGGAAUAUUGGGUAGGGUUCCCUGAGCUAUUCAGCAGUUCCCUGCUGACCAGUCAUUCCACACACAUCACUCUGCAUAUGCCAAUCCCAAAUGCCCAGUCCAUCACCCCUGCCAUCUUUUCCUUUUGGUACUCAGGGUUUGUUUUCAAAGUCUGUGAGUCUGCUUUUGUCUGAUAAAUCAGUUCGUUUGUAUCCAUGUUUUAGAUUGCAGAUAUAAGUGAUAUUGUAUGAUAAUUUGUUUUUCUCUGUCCAAGUUACUUCACUCAGCAUGAGAAUCUCUAGGUCCAUCCGUGUUGCUGCAAGUGGCAUAAAUUUAUUCUUUUUAAUGGCUCAGUAAUAUUCCAUUGUAUAUAUGUAACACAUCCUUGUUCACAGCAGCACUAUUUACAAUAGCCGAGAUAUGGAAGUAACCUAAACAUCCAUUGACAGAUGAAUAUAUAAAGAAGACAUGGUAUAUAUUACUUUUGUAAUCAGGAGCGAAGAAAUUAAUAAAUAAUUGGCGGCCAGGAAGCAGACAUUUCUUUCCUGCAUUCUUUCUCCAAAUACAGUCAUUUGGUGGAACUUAAUCAAGUGCAGUCAUUUUCAGUGAACCCUCUGAUUAAACACACAGCCAACAUUCUUUCUGAAUGCCACAGAUUUCACUUGAGAACAUUUCAAAGCGAUAGAGACCAAGCAGAGGGUGCAAUAGUGGGGUUAUGGUCGGGUUGGAGAGAAGAACAAGGACUGGAAAGUUACAAGGAUGUGGGGGGUGAAGGGGGGGUAAGAAUGUGAGGACAGAGUUGGGGGUGGAGGAUUGAGAGUCCAAAAGCCGGCCUCUGAGCCAGGCCCUAAGGAAAGGGUCUCACCUUAGACAUAGCUCAGAUGCUUUUUCUGAAAAUAUUCUGCCCUUACUCUUUCAUGAUCAAUUCCAAGUUGAAAUAUGGUGAGAUUCUACUGUGUUCUCUUUCUGGGUAUUUCGUAGAGGACUGAUGUUUUAAAUUGACCUGAAAGCUCCCCCCGCAAAAAAAAUAGGUUUUCAAAAUUUCUAUUGGAAACGCAGGAGGUGGAUCUGAACCAAAUGUUACAUAGUUGGUUAUGUAUCAAAAUGCCUUCCAGCUAAGAGAGAAGAAAUAAGAACCAUUGUUCCUAAACGGAUAGAAAAUCUCCACGCUUUUGGUAAAGGGGAGUCAACCUUGCAAAAGAUUUUGUCUUUUUUCAUAACCCGAGAGGGGAUCAUUUCUCUCUUAUCACUCAAGAAAGGCUCAUUGAUCUUGUAACCCAAAUUCCACUUUCUCUGCUACACGUAGGAAUGUCCUCGCUUAUUAUCUAUUAGCCUACCCUUUCCAGGAAAAAUAAUAUGCUAUAAUGAUAUAUAUGCAUGGAUAUAUGUUUACAAUGUAGAAAACAUUUAUUUCUCAGUUCAGAGAACUUCUGGAUUUAUCAUCAGUUGUUGGGAAGUAAAGAAUGGUCUGUUUUAUUUUGAAUUAGCAUCGGAUAAAUGGUAACAAGAGGGGAAUCUUCCUGUCUGUACAUAGUAAUUCUUUUUUUAAAAAAUUAUAGUUGAUUUACAAUGCUGUGCCAAUUUCUGCUGUGCAGCAAAAUAACCCAAUCAUACACAUAUACUUAUGUUCUCUUUCUUAUAUUAUCUCCCAUCACGUUCUGUCCCGGGAGAUUGGGUAUAGUUCCCUGUGCUAUUCAUUAGGACCUCAUUGCGUAUCCAUUCUAAAUAUAAUUGUUUACGUCUCCCAGCCCCAAACUCCCAGUCCGUCUCAAACCCUCCCUCCUCCCCCUUGGCAACCACAACUCUGUUCUCUGUGUCUGUGAGUCUGUUUCUGUUUUGCAGAUGGGUUCAUGUGUGCCAUAUUUUAGAUUCCAUGUAUAAGUGAUAUCAUAUGGUAUUUCUCUUUCUGAAAUAUUUCACUUAGUAUGAGAAUCUCUAGUUGUAUGUAUCCAUGUUGCUGCACACGGCAUUAGUUAAUUCUUUUUUAUGGUGAAGUAGUAUUCCAUUGUGUAUAUGUACCACGUCUUCUUAAUCCAUUCUUCGGUCAAAUGGACAUUUAGGUUACUUUCAAGUCUUGGUUAUUAUGAAUAGUGCCGCUAUGAACAUACAGGUGCAUGUAUCUUUUUGAAUUGUGAUUUUGUUCAGAUAUAUGCCCAGGAGUGGGAAUGCUGGAUCAUACGGUGGUUCUAUAUUUAGUUUUCUGAGGCACCUCCCUACUGUUUUUCGUAUUGGUUGUACCAAUUUACAUUCCCACCAACAGUGAAGGGAGGGUUCCCUUUUCUCCACAUCCUCUCUAGCAUUUGGUAUGUGUAGAAUUAUUAAUGACCACCUACAUGAUGGUUCUUGAUUAUCACAUUAAGUACACAUCUGCUGGCCAUUUGAAAGGAAGAAAAAUACUACAAAUGUCUAAUUUGAUCCCCACCAUCCAAAAAUACAGUUAUAGAAGGUAGGAGGCUCCAGUAUAUGAAGGAAAUCAUUUUAAUUGGAAUGGUAGUCCCUUUAGACAUUUAAACAUAGUUUUUAGUUUCAAAAGAGUUCACAAAUUCGUAAGCCCCAAAACCAAUUUUUGAGGAGCAAACUCUCUCUAUUAGUAGUGUGGAAUUCUGGGAUAAAAAGAAAGACAAAUUAUUCACUAGAGAGAUCUUCCUGAUGUCACGUCAAAUGAGAUGACCGAAUAAAAUAUCUUGUGAGUGGACUGAAGAUCAUUAAUCAUACUGGUUAGUGACCAAAGGUAAUGAACUUAGAUUUAGGAAAAGUUGUUGAAACAGUAGUCCCAAAUUAUGUUUUUCGUUUAUAUUCUAUUUGUUCAUUAAUAAGUGUAAACUGAAGACAGUGUCCACAUUGGGAUAGUGAACACUGUGGAUUGUUUGCAAACUGGCCAACAAUGUACUUUAGUCAGUUUUUCUUGGCAAAUUUAUACUUAAGGCUGUCCAUUGCCAGAAAUCUGUUCCAUAAUGAUGUCAUCAACAGUUUGCCAGGAGAAAAAGCUAAGAGAAAGAGCUAAAAGAAUGCAGAUUGGAAAGUAAUUCCUGCAUGUUUUAUUGGCCAUAUGUGUCCCCCCUGCCUCAAUUUUCCUUAUUGGGCUAUCAAACGACAAUCCUCGUUUGAAUCUGCGAGUCUUUUAAGUGUAUUUUCAUUUUUCCCCCAUAAGGAGUUAUAGAGGUAAUAUUUUCUUGUUGAGCUGUUGCAUUAAAAUAUUAAUUAGGCCCUGUAAUUUGUGAGCAGCUUAUUAUAAUUUUAGGUAAAAAUGCCAGGAGUUUGUAUCACUGGCAUUCUGUAUCCUGUUGUCUGAUGGAAUGGGGAAAGUAAUCAGGCUUUUUGGUUACCUGUUUAAUGAUAUGAAUAAAAAAUAGCAGCAAAUGAAACUUAUGCUUGCAAAACAAAGUAAUUGCAAAAUACUCUUUGACCUUAUAGCAUUUAUGCUAAAACACAGGGACACUUCCAUGUCAACGUAAGUAUCUGUGACACCCCCAUUAAAAAGUGUUCAAUUACCCUAGAGACCCACUGACUCAUAGAUUCUCUGUGACAUUAAUGGGGUCAUCAAGAUAUGAUCUUUGAAUUGCUUUGACUAUCCAUCUACAUUUAAUAAGCUGAACUAUCUUUAAAUACCAUCUGUGGAAGUAAAAAAAGAAAAAAAAAA
This 6367-nucleotide long non-coding RNA is filed under the name Sus scrofa (pig). Its description in RNAcentral is "lncRNA (ENSSSCG00035062897.1)". Lineage: Eukaryota; Metazoa; Chordata; Mammalia; Artiodactyla; Suidae. The record is from RNAcentral.